UUCUUUUUGCCGUAUUCAGCCCUAAAUCGCGCUCGUCUGUUGCUGUCUGGCGAUUUUAGGCCCAAAUCGCUCAUCAGUCGCGGUCUUCUUCGUCAGCCCGAAAUCUCCCCUCUCCAACCCAAAUCGCCUUCAGCCCUAAGCUCGCUUAAUGGCUUCAAUGGAAGGGAAGAUGCAAUGAGGAAGGAGAAUGGUUCCGGUAACUUUGGCGGAAACCAAUCCAACGACCACAAGCUUCUUCUCUGCCGAUGCCACUGAUUCCUCCGACUACUUCGCCGCGAGACGGAAGCUCUAUUACACUAUUUUUUUGGGGCUGCUUGUUGCAGAGUAAUGGACCAGUUUGAUCCCAGACAAUCCAUUGAAAGACGCUAAACAAGGAACUGAAAUUAUUAUCGCCUAUUAGAUAAUGAUGGACAGCCCUCAUGUUUUUGCUACGGCAGAGCAGAUGCUGCCUAUUCUGGGAUGAUGAAAGGUGGAUGAAUUCAUCUGCACUAUCUUUUAUCUUCUAAAUUUAUUUUUACAGUAGCAGUGCUUGAUAAAGUGCUUGUAGUAUUUGUCUCAUGGUUAGAGGAAUACAUAAUUACUUUUGCCUGCUAGUGCUAUAAUGCCAAUAUUUUUUAAGAUCAACACAAUAAUUCACUCAAAGAGUUGGUUUGAUACCGAAUGAAUACUUUUUUAUUGUGGUGGAUUAAUAGACCUACUUCACUCAAAAAGUCGGUAUGUAUAUAGUUGCUUAUUUUAAGAUGAUAUUAUUUUUAUA
Long non-coding RNA from Momordica charantia (bitter melon), 757 nucleotides. RefSeq lists it as uncharacterized. The record is from RefSeq and is a predicted model, not a curated record. Lineage: Eukaryota; Viridiplantae; Streptophyta; Magnoliopsida; Cucurbitales; Cucurbitaceae.